AUGAACACAUACUCAUACUCCUCGUCAGAGGAGGAUGAAUGCAGUUACAGAAUCACCCACCAACCAAGGACCAAGCAGCGUGGUAUCGGGCAGCAGCGAUCUCUGGACUCAUGGACAUGGGAGGAGAUUUUGGACGGAAAAGGACCCUGGGCACAGGCUGGGGAAUAUCGCCGCCCCAAGGAAGAACUGGAGGCAGCGAGAGCUGAGUGGCGGCGAUAUGAGGAGGUAGCACGGCAGCGCGACAGGCACGAGAGGCAGCUCCAAAAUGUUUUUGGGAGGAGGCACACGGGGAGUGUGGCAGAGUCAGGUUGGAGACCUGAGCCCACUCCUCGUGCUUACCGGAAGAAGCACAGUACUGGUCAGGCACCGUGUUAUGCGGUCAAGCGCACGGUAUCGCCAGUACGCGCUCAUAGCCCGGUGGGCUAUAGGCCAGCCCCCCGCAAGUGCCAAGCGAGAGUGGGCAUCCAGCCAGGGCGUGUUGUGCCAGCCCAGCGUGUUCGAUCUCCAGUACGCCGUUUCGGCCCAGGGUAUCCUGCGCCGGCUCUGCGUGCUGUGUCUCCGAGGAGCUGGGAAGGUGCAGUGCGUCCUAUGCCUGCGCUCCGCCCGUGCCGGGUGAAUGUGGGUAUUGAGCCUAAGGGAGAGGUGCGAGUGGUAUGCACCAGAUCUCCAGUGCUCACCCACAGCCCGGUCCAUCCGGUGCCUCCUCCAAGCACCAGGCCUCCUGUAGGUCUCCCCAGCUUGGUGGGUCCUGUGGCAGCCCCACGCACCAGGCUGUCUCUCCGUCUCCUCCCUCCAGGUCCGCCCGUCUGUCCUGAGCUGCCAGAGCCGCCCGUCUGUCCUGAGCUGCCAGAGCCGCCCGUCUGUCCUGAGCUGCCAGAGCCGCCCGUCUGUCCUGAGCUGCCAGAGCCGCCUGUCUGUCCUGAGCUGCCAGAGCUGCCCGUCAGUGAGGAGCUGCCAGAGCCGCCCGUCAGUCAAGAGCUGCCAAAGCCGCCCGUCAGUUAG
Molecule: long non-coding RNA, 1002 nt
Filed under: Oncorhynchus kisutch (coho salmon)
Lineage: Eukaryota; Metazoa; Chordata; Actinopteri; Salmoniformes; Salmonidae
Description: lncRNA (ENSOKIG00005000998.1)
Source: RNAcentral